AGGAGGAACAGCCCCAGUGGCGGGGCAGCUCUGGAGCCCUGGAGUCAGCCCCCGCAGGAACUCCGGAGCUCUCCGUCUGCAGGGCCUGGAGGCUCCGGGGCGGG
Molecule: microRNA precursor, 104 nt
Filed under: Canis lupus dingo (dingo)
Lineage: Eukaryota; Metazoa; Chordata; Mammalia; Carnivora; Canidae
Description: mir-8834 microRNA precursor family
Rfam family: mir-8834 microRNA precursor family
Source: Rfam by way of RNAcentral